AGAACGAACGCUGGCGGCGUGGAUAAGACAUGCAAGUCGAGCGAUGAUUACGGGGUAGCAAUAUCUCGUAGUUGGAGCGGCGCAAGGGUGCGUAACACGUGGGUAAUCUGCCAUGAAGUCCGGGAUAACUCGCUGAAAGGCGAGCUAAUACCGUAUGUGAAAAUCGGGAGGCAUCUUCUGAUUUUCAAAGCUGGGGACCGUAAGGCCUGGCGCUUCAUGAUGAGCCCGCGGCCUAUCAGCUAGUUGGUGAGGUAACGGCUCACCAAGGCUAAGACGGGUAGCUGGUCUGAGAGGACGACCAGCCACACUGGAACUGAGACACGGUCCAGACACCUACGGGUGCAGCAGUCGAGAAUUUUCACAA
This 364-nucleotide ribosomal RNA is filed under the name uncultured bacterium. RNAcentral describes it as "SSU rRNA". It matches the Rfam family "Bacterial small subunit ribosomal RNA", at positions 26 to 371 of the family's 1533-position model. The record is from RNAcentral.